UGAGGGUGCGAUGAGCUGAUGGCUGUGA
This 28-nucleotide non-coding RNA is filed under the name Homo sapiens (human). Lineage: Eukaryota; Metazoa; Chordata; Mammalia; Primates; Hominidae. The record is from RNAcentral.